This 466-nucleotide ribosomal RNA is filed under the name uncultured bacterium. RNAcentral describes it as "partial 16S ribosomal RNA". It matches the Rfam family "Bacterial small subunit ribosomal RNA", at positions 28 to 507 of the family's 1533-position model. The record is from RNAcentral.
GACGAACGCUGGCGGCGCGCCUAACACAUGCAAGUCGAACGAGCGAGCGCGAGCUUGCUUUCUCGCGCGAGUGGCGAACGGGUGAGUAACGCGUGAGGAACCUGCCCUAAAGAGGGGGACAACAGCUGGAAACGACUGCUAAUACCGCAUAAGCCCACGGGCCGGCAUGGAGCGGAGGGAAAAGGAGCAAUCCGCUUUUAGAUGGCCCCGCGUCCGAUUUGCUAGUUGGUGAGGUAAUGGCCCACCAAGGCGACGAGCGGUAGCCGGACUGAGAGGUUGAACGGCCACAUUGGGACUGAGACACGGCCCAGACUCCUACGGGAGGCAGCAGUGGGGAAUAUUGCACAAUGAGGGAAACCCUGAUGCAGCGACGCCGCGUGGAGGAAGAAGGUCUUCGGAUUGUAAACUCCUGUUGUUGGGGAAGAUAAUGACGGUACCCAACAAGGAAGUGACGGCUAACUACGUG